This 343-nucleotide ribosomal RNA is filed under the name uncultured Thermoanaerobacterium sp. RNAcentral's name for it is "bacterial SSU rRNA". It matches the Rfam family "Bacterial small subunit ribosomal RNA", at positions 355 to 717 of the family's 1533-position model. The record is from RNAcentral. Lineage: Bacteria; Bacillati; Bacillota; Clostridia; Thermoanaerobacterales; Thermoanaerobacteraceae.
UGGGGAAUAUUGUGCAAUGGGGGAAACCCUGACACAGCGACGCCGCGUGAGCGAAGAAGGCCUUCGGGUCGUAAAGCUCUGUCUAGGGGGACGAUAAUGACGGUACCAUACGAAAGCCCCGGCUAACUACGUGCCAGCAGCCGCGGUAAUACGUAGGGGGCGAGCGUUGUCCGGAAUUACUGGGCGUAAAGAGCACGUAGGCGGCUAUAAAAGUCAGAUGUGAAAAACCUGGGCUCAACCGAGGGUAUGCAUCUGAAACUAAAUAGCUUGAGUCAAGGAGAGGAGAGCGGAAUUCCUGGUGUAGCGGUGAAAUGCGUAGAGAUCAGGAAGAAUACCAGUGGCG